GAUGAACGCUGGCGGCGUGCCUAAUACAUGCAAGUCGAGCGAACGGACGAGAAGCUUGCUUUUCUGAUGUUAGCGGCGGACGGGUGAGUAACACGUGGAUAACCUACCUAUAAGACUGGGAUAAAUUCGGGAAACCGGAGCUAAUACUGGAUAAUAUUUUGAACCGCAUGGUUCAAAAGUGAAAGACGGUCUUGCUGUCACUUAUAGAUGGAUCCGCGCUGCAUUAGCUAGUUGGUAAGGUAACGGCUUACCAAGGCAACGAUGCAUAGCCGACCUGAGAGGGUGAUCGGCCACACUGGAACUGAGACACGGUCCAGACUCCUACGGGAGGCAGCAGUAGGGAAUCUUCCGCAAUGGGCGAAAGCCUGACGGAGCAACGCCGCGUGAGUGAUGAAGGUCUUCGGAUCGUAAAACUCUGUUAUUAGGGAAGAACAUAUGUGUAAGUAACUGUGCACAUCUUGACGGUACCUAAUCAGAAAGCCACGGCUAACUACGUG
Molecule: ribosomal RNA, 497 nt
Filed under: uncultured bacterium
Lineage: Bacteria
Description: partial 16S ribosomal RNA
Rfam family: Bacterial small subunit ribosomal RNA
Source: RNAcentral